Pan paniscus (pygmy chimpanzee) is the source of this 81-nucleotide microRNA precursor. NCBI's taxonomy places the organism in Eukaryota, Metazoa, Chordata, Mammalia, Primates, Hominidae. The record is from Ensembl.
UAUUAGGUUGCUGCAAAAGUAAUUGCGGUUUUUGCUACUUUCGUUGGCAAAAACUGUAAUUACUUUUGCACCAAACUAAUA